UGGGGAAUAUUGCACAAUGGGCGAAAGCCUGAUGCAGCGACGCCGCGUGAGGGAUGACGGCCUUCGGGUUGUAAACCUCUUUCAGUAGGGACGAAGCGCAAGUGACGGUACCUGCAGAAGAAGCACCGGCUAACUACGUGCCAGCAGCCGCGGUAAUACGUAGGGUGCGAGCGUUGUCCGGAAUUACUGGGCGUAAAGAGCUCGUAGGCGGUUUGUCACGUCGUCUGUGAAAUCCUAGGGCUUAACCCUGGACGUGCAGGCGAUACGGGCUGACUUGAGUACUACAGGGGAGACUGGAAUUUCUGGUGUAGCGGUGGAAUGCACAGAUAUCAGGAAGAACGCCGAUGGCGAAGGCAGGUCUCUGGGUAGUAACUGACGCUGAGGAGCGAAAGCAUGGGUAGCGAACAGG
RNAcentral lists this ribosomal RNA (409 nucleotides) under bacterium. Its description in RNAcentral is "partial 16S ribosomal RNA". It matches the Rfam family "Bacterial small subunit ribosomal RNA", at positions 355 to 776 of the family's 1533-position model. The record is from RNAcentral.